RNAcentral lists this ribosomal RNA (261 nucleotides) under uncultured bacterium. RNAcentral describes it as "partial 16S ribosomal RNA". The record is from RNAcentral.
CUGCUGCCUUCCGUAGGAGUUUGGACCGUGUCUCAGUUCCAAUGUGGGGGACCUUCCUCUCAGAGCCCCUAUCCAUCGUCGUCUUGGUGGGCCGUUACCCCGCCAACUAACUAAUGGAACGCAUCCCCAUCGAUAACCGAAAUUCUUUAAUAUCAAGAUCAUGCGAUCUUGAUAUGCUAUCGGAUAUUAAUCUUUCUUUCGAAAGGCUAUCCCCGAGUUAUCGGCAGGUUGGAUACGUGUUACUCACCCGUGCGCCGGUCG